Oreochromis niloticus (Nile tilapia) is the source of this 1439-nucleotide long non-coding RNA. RefSeq lists it as uncharacterized. The transcript has 6 exons. Lineage: Eukaryota; Metazoa; Chordata; Actinopteri; Cichliformes; Cichlidae. The record is from RefSeq and is a predicted model, not a curated record.
AUGAACCAGUGAUUUUUUGAUUGCUGAUUCCAAGAGAGUCUUUGUGGAAAUCCUGUUUGGCUUUUUGUUAUUUUAAUUCUCUUUUCUGUUUUCCAGAACAGUUCUCCACAGUCACUGUCCACAUGGGUCAGUGGGACCAAGAAGCACUGUGCUAAUGUGUGGACUCUGACCAGCAACAUCCAGCAAAACCCAGACAGCGUUUUCUAUCUCCCAGCUGGAGUUUUUUUGUUUGUCUGUGACUGGAGAGUCAGAUUUUUGUUGAGCUUCACACUUGCAGAGUCUUUUUGCAGGAUCAGAAAACAAAACCAGGAGGCGCGUAAAUGUUUCUUCUCCAUGAUGUUUCUUCAAAUGUUUCUUCUGGAUGAUGAUAAGACCAUGACACGGGAUGCCACCUUUGGUCUUGUGAUGAAGCAAAGCUCAGGAAGAAGUGUGAUUAAAUGGUACCCACAUGUGUGCUGCUGAGAAGGAUGUACAGGGGCACCUGCAGCCAAAUCCAAGCCAACUCAGAUGGUGACGGUGUGGAGAGACGGUGGUGUUUCCUCAGAAGAACCAGCAGAGUCACAAAGGACACCAGUCCAUCUCACCACCUUGACUUGCUGACUGAUGCUCGUCUGCACUGCACAGAGGAAAUCAACUGACCGAGGAGUGUUUCUGAGUGAGGGAGAGAGGAGUCAUCAUCCAGGUAAUGUGACGUGGAUCAGUGGAUACACUUGUCUCCCCUUUAAAGGAGACACUCUUAGAGAGAGACGAUCAGAGUCAUCCUUAAAUAUGGGCAGGAUAUCAGUCUUGGACUGUCUAACCUGCAGGAGCAGCAUUGAAUGACCACCACACAUGAGCAUGUUCCUGCAACAUUCAGCAUCUGAUCCUUCAUCUGUGUGCUUCUGCUUUUGUGUCAAAUGUCAAACAGCUGGAGAGGAAACUGAACCAGUGUACUGGGAUGUUUCUUCAACAUGUGCCAGAUGCUGUUCCUUCAUGGUGACAUCACCAGAGACAGCCCCGCCCACUUCAGGACCCAUUGAUCAUGAUGAUUAUAAUGAUGACAGCGAGCGGAACUAAGACUGUAAAAAUCCACAACCAGAAUGUUUAGAUGCUUUCUAAUUAUUAAUGAAUACUGAGUUUUUGUCUCUCUUUUUUUUUUUUUACCUCAUUUGUUACUAACAAAGUUCACCAAACUCACACAGUUUACAUUCUGUAUGUUUCCAUCAAGGUUUAUUUUCUUAGAAAUCAUCGUUUUUCUCCUUUUCUCUUUUUCUCUUUUGUAAUUGAUGAUAAUUCAGUGAAUAUACUGCGCUGCUUCCUUUUAUUGCGUCACACAUUGCUUUAAGUUUUUCAGUGUCCAGUUAUUUUUUUACUGCUGUUUGAAUUCUCUGAAUGUUUGACCCUGUAGACUGUUUGAGGGACUGCUUGUCUUCCUGUUUGUAACUGCCACCUGUUUUUGA